Molecule: ribosomal RNA, 1313 nt
Filed under: metagenome
Description: bacterial LSU rRNA
Rfam family: Bacterial large subunit ribosomal RNA
Source: RNAcentral
AAUCCUAUGCUGCCUAGAAAAGCCCAGUAGCGAGUUGACAUGGUGCCCGUACCCCAAACCAACACAGGUGGACAGGUAGAGCAUACCAAGGCGAGUGGGAUAACUAUGGUUAAGGAACUCGGCAAAUUUCCUCCGUAACUUCGGGAUAAGGAGGACCCCAGUAGCGUGACGAGACUUGCUCUCCGAGCGUGAAGGGGUGGCACAAAAUUGAGGGAAGCGACUGUUUACCAAAAACACAGCAGCGUGCUAAGCCGUAAGGCGCUGUAUACGCUGUGACUCCUGCCCGGUGCUGGAAGGUUACGGGGAUGGGUUAGUCCUUCGGGACGAAGCUCUGAACCUAAGCCCCAGUAAACGGCGGCCGUAACUAUAACGGUCCUAAGGUAGCGAAAUUCCUUGUCGGGUAAGUUCCGACCUGCACGAAUGGAGUAACGACUUCCAUACUGUCUCAACCAUAGACCCAGCGAAAUUGAAGUACGAGUAAAGAUGCUCGUUAGCUGCAGAAGGACGGAAAGACCCCGUGGACCUUUACUAUAACUUGAUGUUGUGUUUUGUCAUAUGUUGUGUAGGAUAGGUGGGAGACAAGGAAGCAUGGACGCUAGUCUGUGUGGAGUCAUCGUUGAAAUACCACCCUGCAUAUGGUGAGGCUCUAACCUAGACCCGUUAUCCGGGUUGGGGACAGCGUCAGGCGGGUAGUUUAACUGGGGCGGUUGCCUCCUAAAGAGUAACGGAGGCGCCCAAAGGUUCCCUCAGCCUGGUUGGCAAUCAGGCGUCGAGUGCAAUGGCAAAAGGGAGCUUGACUGCGAGACCUACAAGUCGAGCAGGAGCGAAAGCUGGGCAUAGUGAUCCGGCGGUUGCGUGUGGAAGCGCCGUCGCUCAACGGAUAAAAGGUACCCCGGGGAUAACAGGCUAAUCUUGCCCAAGCGUCCAUAGCGACGGCAAGGUUUGGCACCUCGAUGUCGGCUCAUCGCAUCCUGGGGCUGAAGCAGGUCCCAAGGGUUGGGCUGUUCGCCCAUUAAAGCGGUACGCGAGCUGGGUUCAGAACGUCGUGAGACAGUUCGGUCCCUAUCCUCUGUAGCCGUAGGUGAAUUGAGGAAAGCUGUCCCUAGUACGAGAGGACCGGGACGGACGCAGCUCUCGUGUGCCAGUUGUCCUGCCAAGGGCAUGGCUGGUUAGCGACCUGCGGAAAGGAUAACCGCUGAAAGCAUCUAAGCGGGAAGCCUCUUCCAAGAUGAAUUCACCCACAGGGUUAACCUGGUAAGGCCCGUGGUAGACCACCACGUUGAUAGGCCGGAAGUGUAAGCGUGGCAACACGU